CUGGUGAAAGAACAACACAAACUUAGUACUUCAAUAUUACUAAAAUACAGAAAUAACCUCUUAGCCAUAACUUUCAAUAGAUUUAUAGUCGUCUCCUAAACAGAUCAUUGUUAGUUAAGUAAAAUAUUCAGUACUUUGUUGGAUUCGCGUUUGUAGCUCAAAUAUUUUUAUUACGUAACAAUACACACACCACUAAUAAUAUUUUAUGCUACUUUUAUCAUGAACACAUGAAUGAUCUUGGAUAUCUAUAAAUAUCUUGUAUUUGUGUGGUUCAGUUGAGAAAUAAAAAUAUUUUCCGUUAAAAAUGUUCGUCUAGUUUAUAUAACAGAAAUAGAUGAACCCGUCUCACAAAUGUUACUAUUUAGUUCUCAGCACUUAUCUAAAAUUAUACCUCUUCGUUUCUAUAUGAUUAAAAGUGAC
Long non-coding RNA from Spodoptera frugiperda (fall armyworm), 420 nucleotides. RefSeq lists it as uncharacterized. The record is from RefSeq and is a predicted model, not a curated record. NCBI's taxonomy places the organism in Eukaryota, Metazoa, Arthropoda, Insecta, Lepidoptera, Noctuidae. The transcript has 2 exons.